GACGUAGGUGGCGAACGUUAUCCGGAAUUAUUGGGCGUAAAGGGUGCGUAGAUGGCUUGACAAGUUAGUGGUGGGAAAUCGAGGCUCAACCUCGUGGAAGUCACUAAUACUAUCAAACUAGAGUGCAGGAGAGGUUAAUGGAACUCCAUGUGUAGCAGUAAAAUGCGACGAUAUAUGGAUGAACACCAAUAAAGGCGAAGGCAGUUAACUAUUCUGCUACUGACAUUGAGGGCACGAAAGCGUGGGGAGCAAAACGG
This 257-nucleotide ribosomal RNA is filed under the name uncultured bacterium. RNAcentral describes it as "partial 16S ribosomal RNA". It matches the Rfam family "Bacterial small subunit ribosomal RNA", at positions 524 to 776 of the family's 1533-position model. The record is from RNAcentral.